Pelobates cultripes (western spadefoot toad) is the source of this 436-nucleotide non-coding RNA. The record is from the annotation of a GenBank genome assembly. NCBI's taxonomy places the organism in Eukaryota, Metazoa, Chordata, Amphibia, Anura, Pelobatidae.
GGGGCACUUGUGAAUACAGACAUGGGGACACUGGGAGACAUGGAGACACUGGGAGACAUGGGGACACUGGGAUACAGAGACAUGGGGACACUGAAACAUUUGGGGACACUAAGACACUAGGGACAUUGAGAGACAUGAGAACACAGACACUGGGAGACUAUGGGACACUGGGAGACUAGGGGACACUUGUGGACAUAGACAUGGGGACACUGGGAGACAUGGGGACAAAGACAUUUGGGGACACUGAGAGACAUGGGGACACAGACACCUGGAGACUUGAGGACACUGGCUGGGAGACAUGGGGACACUGGGAGACAUGGGGACUCUGAGUCACUAGGGACACUGAGAGACAUGGGGACACAGACACUGUGAGACUAGGGGAAACUGGGAACCAUGUGACCACUGAGCCACUAGGGACACUGGCUGGGAGACAUGG